This 245-nucleotide ribosomal RNA is filed under the name uncultured bacterium. RNAcentral describes it as "partial 16S ribosomal RNA". It matches the Rfam family "Bacterial small subunit ribosomal RNA", at positions 524 to 768 of the family's 1533-position model. The record is from RNAcentral.
AACGUAGGGGGCGAGCGUUGUCCGGAAUUACUGGGCGUAAAGCGCGUGUAGGCGGGUUUUUAAGUCGGGUGUGAAAACCCUGGGCUCAACCCAGGGACUGCAUCCGAAACUGGGAAUCUUGAGGGCGGGAGAGGAAAGUGGAAUUCCUAGUGUAGCGGUGAAAUGCGUAGAUAUUAGGAGGAACACCAGUGGCGAAGGCGGCUUUCUGGCCCGAACCUGACGCUGAGACGCGAAAGCGUGGGGAG